GCGCAAAACAAAGGGUUUCUUUAAAGAAGAGGACUUCUCCUGCUGAAUGCUCCACAAGCUCUCUAAGGAUCCUUUCAGAAUUCUAAUGCCGGGCCUGGCCCUUAUUUGACUGUGUAUUUAAUAACUGCUGUUGCUGUUGAGAGUUGGUACAAUUUUCUCAAAGGAAUUUUCCAUCUCUGAAAGGAUCCAUUCAGAAUUCUAAAG
Bombina bombina (fire-bellied toad) is the source of this 204-nucleotide long non-coding RNA. RefSeq lists it as uncharacterized. The record is from RefSeq and is a predicted model, not a curated record. NCBI's taxonomy places the organism in Eukaryota, Metazoa, Chordata, Amphibia, Anura, Bombinatoridae. The transcript has 3 exons.